Molecule: long non-coding RNA, 380 nt
Organism: Mytilus californianus (California mussel)
Lineage: Eukaryota; Metazoa; Mollusca; Bivalvia; Mytilida; Mytilidae
Exons: 3
Source: RefSeq, a predicted model, not a curated record
ACUUUAUAUAUAUAAUUCAUGCUGUCCAUUCUACACCACAGUUUUACUUUAUAAAUACAUGAUGCAGAAGUUGAGUGGACUUUUACUCUGUUGCUGUUUUCUUAUAUUUUUUGGCAGCACUGGAGUCAGUGGUCAAGGCCCAUGCAGGCUUGGGUGUCCUCCAAGUCCAGGCGCCGGUAUAUGCGUUGAGGAGUGUCAGAGAGGUGGAUGUGGUCCAGGACAGCUGUGUUGUUCAAAUGGUUGCGGUCACGUUUGUAUGAUAGCGACUGAAAUAUGCUGAUGAACCAGAUGCUGGAUUUGAUGUUGCUUUUUUUCUAUUGCUACCAAUGCAAUGUUGAGAUAAAGUCUUUAAAUUGGAAAAUAAAUGUUUAAAAACAGGA